ACUCUUAACAUAUAAAUGACCUGUUGCAAUGUACUCAGGAGCAGCAUAGCCAUAUGUUCCCAUAACUCUAGUUGUCACAUGUGAGUCGCCACCUGAAGGCCCAAAUUUUGCCAAGCCAAAAUCUGAUAUUUUUGCAUCGUAAUUCUCCCAUCAAGCAGUAUAUUUGAGGCCUUGAAAUCUCUGUAAAUGACUUUCUUAUCUGAAGUAUGAAGAAAAGCAAGACCUCGAGCUGCUCCAAUAGCUAUCUUGAGCCGUAAGUCCCAAGACAAGGGUUCAAUAGCAGGAUUCCUUCUGAAAAGAUGAUUCUCCAAGCUUCC
This 317-nucleotide unclassified non-coding RNA is filed under the name Hevea brasiliensis (rubber tree). Lineage: Eukaryota; Viridiplantae; Streptophyta; Magnoliopsida; Malpighiales; Euphorbiaceae. The record is from RNAcentral.